CACUAUCGUUAACUGAAUACAUAGGUUAACGAGGCGAACCGGGGGAACUGAAACAUCUAAGUACCCCGAGGAAAAGAAAUCAACCGAGAUUCCCCCAGUAGCGGCGAGCGAACGGGGAGCAGCCCGGAGUCUGAAUCAGCUUGUGUGUUAGUGGAACGGUCUGGAAAGUCCGACGGUACAGGGUGAUAGUCCCGUACACGAAAAUGCACAUGCUGUGAACUCGAAGAGUAGGGCGGGACACGUGGUAUCCUGUCUGAAUAUGGGGGGACCAUCCUCCAAGGCUAAAUACUCCUGACUGACCGAUAGUGAACCAGUACCGUGAGGGAAAGGCGAAAAGAACCCCGGCGAGGGGAGUGAAAAAGAACCUGAAACCGUGUACGUACAAGCAGUGGGAGCCUCUUUAUGGGGUGACUGCGUACCUUUUGUAUAAUGGGUCAGCGACUUAUAUUCUGUAGCAAGGUUAACCGUAUAGGGGAGCCGAAGGGAAACCGAGUCUUAACUGGGCGUUAAGUUGCAGGGUAUAGACCCGAAACCCGGUGAUCUAGCCAUGGGCAGGUUGAAGGUUGGGUAACACUAACUGGAGGACCGAACCGACUAAUGUUGAAAAAUUAGCGGAUGACCUGUGGCUGGGGGUGAAAGGCCAAUCAAACCGGGAGAUAGCUGGUUCUCCCCGAAAGCUAUUUAGGUAGCGCCUCGUGAACUCAUCUUCGGGGGUAGAGCACUGUUUCGGCUAGGGGGCCAUCCCGGCUUACCAACCCGAUGCAAACUACGAAUACCGAAGAAUGUUAUCACGGGAGACACACGGCGGGUGCUAACGUCCGUCGUGAAGAGGGAAACAAACCAAGACCGCCAGCUAAGGUCCCAAAGUAAUGGUUAAGUGGGAAACGAUGUGGGAAGGCACAGACAGCCAGGAUGUUGGCUUAGAAGCAGCCAUCAUUUAAAGAAAGCGUAAUAGCUCACUGGUCGAGUCGGCCUGCGCGGAAGAUGUAACGGGGCUAAACCAUGCACCGAAGCUGCGGCAGCGACACUAUGUGUUGUUGGGUAGGGGAGCGUUCUGUAAGCCGUUGAAGGUGUGCUGUGAGGCAUGCUGGAGGUAUCAGAAGUGCGAAUGCUGACAUAAGUAACGAUAAAGCGGGUGAAAAGCCCGCUCGCCGGAAGACCAAGGGUUCCUGUCCAACGUUAAUCGGGGCAGGGUGAGUCGACCCCUAAGGCGAGGCCGAAAGGCGUAGUCGAUGGGAAACAGGUUAAUAUUCCUGUACUUGGUGUUACUGCGAAGGGGGGACGGAGAAGGCUAUGUCAGCCGGGCGACGGUUGUCCCGGUUUAAGCAUGUAGGCGGAGGUUCCAGGUAAAUCCGGUACCUUAUUAACGCUGAGGUGUGAUGACGAGGCACUACGGUGCUGAAGUGAUAAAUGCCCUGCUUCCAGGAAAAGCCUCUAAGCAUCAGGUAACACGAAAUCGUACCCCAAACCGACACAGGUGGUCAGGUAGAGAAUACCAAGGCGCUUGAGAGAACUCGGGUGAAGGAACUAGGCAAAAUGGUGCCGUAACUUCGGGAGAAGGCACGCUGAUGUGUAGGUGAAGCCCCUGCGGGCGGAGCUGAAAUCAGUCGAAGAUACCAGCUGGCUGCAACUGUUUAUUAAAAACACAGCACUGUGCAAACACGAAAGUGGACGUAUACGGUGUGACGCCUGCCCGGUGCCGGAAGGUUAAUUGAUGGGGUUAGCGGCAACGCGAAGCUCUUGAUCGAAGCCCCGGUAAACGGCGGCCGUAACUAUAACGGUCCUAAGGUAGCGAAAUUCCUUGUCGGGUAAGUUCCGACCUGCACGAAUGGCGUAAUGAUGGCCAGGCUGUCUCCACCCGAGACUCAGUGAAAUUGAACUCGCUGUGAAGAUGCAGUGUACCCGCGGCAAGACGGAAAGACCCCGUGAACCUUUACUAUAGCUUGACACUGAACACUGGUCCUUGAUGUGUAGGAUAGGUGGGAGGCUUUGAAGCGUGGACGCCAGUCUGCGUGGAGCCAACCUUGAAAUACCACCCUUUAAUGGCUGGUGUUCUAACGUAGACCCGUAAUCCGGGUUGCGGACAGUGUCUGGUGGGUAGUUUGACUGGGGCGGUCUCCUCCCAAAGAGUAACGGAGGAGCACGAAGGUUGGCUAAUCCUGGUCGGACAUCAGGAGGUUAGUGCAAUGGCAUAAGCCAGCUUGACUGCGAGCGUGACGGCGCGAGCAGGUGCGAAAGCAGGUCAUAGUGAUCCGGUGGUUCUGAAUGGAAGGGCCAUCGCUCAACGGAUAAAAGGUACUCCGGGGAUAACAGGCUGAUACCGCCCAAGAGUUCAUAUCGACGGCGGUGUUUGGCACCUCGAUGUCGGCUCAUCACAUCCUGGGGCUGAAGUAGGUCCCAAGGGUAUGGCUGUUCGCCAUUUAAAGUGGUACGCGAGCUGGGUUUAGAACGUCGUGAGACAGUUCGGUCCCUAUCUGCCGUGGGCGCUGGAGAAUUGAGGGGGGCUGCUCCUAGUACGAGAGGACCGGAGUGGACGCAUCACGGGUUCGGGUUGUCAUGCCAAUGGCACUGCCCGGUAGCUAAAUGCGGAAGAGAUAAGUGCUGAAAGCAUCUAAGCACGAAACUUGCCCCGAGAUGAGUUCUCCCUGAGAC
Molecule: ribosomal RNA, 2652 nt
Filed under: Enterobacter hormaechei
Lineage: Bacteria; Pseudomonadati; Pseudomonadota; Gammaproteobacteria; Enterobacterales; Enterobacteriaceae
Description: bacterial LSU rRNA
Rfam family: Bacterial large subunit ribosomal RNA
Source: RNAcentral